AUACGGAGGGUGCAAGCGUUAUCCGGAUUUAUUGGGUUUAAAGGGUGCGCAGGCGGACCUGUCAGUCAGUGGUGAAAUCCCGGGGCUCAACCCCGGAACUGCCAUUGAUACUACAGGUCUCGAAUACGGUUGAAGUAGGCGGAAUGUAGCAUGUAGCGGUGAAAUGCAUAGAUAUGCUACAGAACACCGAUCGCGAAGGCAGCUUACUAAGCCGAUAUUGACGCUCAGGCACGAAAGCGUGGGUAGCGAACAGGAUUAGAAACCCUAGUAGUCC
RNAcentral lists this ribosomal RNA (274 nucleotides) under uncultured bacterium. RNAcentral describes it as "partial 16S ribosomal RNA". It matches the Rfam family "Bacterial small subunit ribosomal RNA", at positions 523 to 796 of the family's 1533-position model. The record is from RNAcentral.